Molecule: unclassified non-coding RNA, 289 nt
Filed under: Hevea brasiliensis (rubber tree)
Lineage: Eukaryota; Viridiplantae; Streptophyta; Magnoliopsida; Malpighiales; Euphorbiaceae
Source: RNAcentral
UGAUGUAUACGUUUUCGCACUUUUCAAUGAGGACUUAAAGCCUGGUCCGACGUCAGAAAGGAACUAUGGGCUAUUCUACCCUGAUGGUACCCCAGUUUAUAACAUUGGAUUACAGGGUUAUCUUCCAGAGUUAACUUAUUCUUCAGCAUCCACGAUAAAUGUUUUAUCUGUAUUCAGUGCAGUGAUCUAUGUUAUGAUAAACUUAAUCUGUGCUUAGGAGCACCUGAAUUCACUGGUAGAGGGAGGGAGAGACUAACACAAUCAAAUUCUUAGAGAUCGUAUAACUGCA